Chitinivibrio alkaliphilus ACht1 is the source of this 74-nucleotide transfer RNA. It matches the Rfam family "tRNA". Rfam says of the family: Transfer RNA (tRNA) molecules are approximately 80 nucleotides in length. Their secondary structure includes four short double-helical elements and three loops (D, anti-codon, and T loops). Further hydrogen bonds mediate the characteristic L-shaped molecular structure. tRNAs have two regions of fundamental functional importance: the anti-codon, which is responsible for specific mRNA codon recognition, and the 3' end, to which the tRNAs corresponding amino acid is attached (by aminoacyl-tRNA synthetases). tRNAs cope with the degeneracy of the genetic code in two manners: having more than one tRNA (with a specific anti-codon) for a particular amino acid; and 'wobble' base-pairing, i.e. permitting non-standard base-pairing at the 3rd anti-codon position. Lineage: Bacteria; Pseudomonadati; Fibrobacterota; Chitinivibrionia; Chitinivibrionales; Chitinivibrionaceae. The record is from Rfam.
GCCCAGGUAGCUCAGUCGGUAGAGCGCAUCCUUGGUAAGGAUGAGGUUCACGGGUUCAAUUCCCGUUCUGGGCU